Molecule: ribosomal RNA, 487 nt
Filed under: uncultured Microbacterium sp.
Lineage: Bacteria; Bacillati; Actinomycetota; Actinomycetes; Micrococcales; Microbacteriaceae
Description: bacterial SSU rRNA
Rfam family: Bacterial small subunit ribosomal RNA
Source: RNAcentral
AGAGUUUGAUCCUGGCUCAGGAUGAACGCUGGCGGCGUGCUUAACACAUGCAAGUCGAACGGUGAAGCCAAGCUUGCUUGGUGGAUCAGUGGCGAACGGGUGAGUAACACGUGAGCAACCUGCCCUGAACUCUGGGAUAAGCGCUGGAAACGGCGUCUAAUACUGGAUACGAGACGUGGCCGCAUGGUCAACGUUUGGAAAGAUUUUUUGGUUCAGGAUGGGCUCGCGGCCUAUCAGCUUGUUGGUGAGGUAAUGGCUCACCAAGGCGUCGACGGGUAGCCGGCCUGAGAGGGUGACCGGCCACACUGGGACUGAGACACGGCCCAGACUCCUACGGGAGGCAGCAGUGGGGAAUAUUGCACAAUGGGCGAAAGCCUGAUGCAGCAACGCCGCGUGAGGGAUGACGGCCUUCGGGUUGUAAACCUCUUUUAGCAAGGAAGAAGCGAAAGUGACGGUACUUGCAGAAAAAGCACCGGCUAACUACGUG